GAUGAACGCUGGCGGCGUGCCUAAUGCAUGCAAGUCGAGCGAACGGACGAGAAGCUUGCUUCUCUGAUGUUAGCGGCGGACGGGUGAGUAACACGUGGAUAACCUACCUAUAAGACUGGGAUAACUUCGGGAAACCGGAGCUAAUACCGGAUAAUAUUUUGAACCGCAUGGUUCAAAAGUGAAAGACGGUCUUGCUGUCACUUAUAGAUGGAUCCGCGCUGCAUUAGCUAGUUGGUAAGGUAACGGCUUACCAAGGCAACGAUGCAUAGCCGACCUGAGAGGGUGAUCGGCCACACUGGAACUGAGACACGGUCCAGACUCCUACGGGAGGCAGCAGUAGGGAAUCUUCCGCAAUGGGCGAAAGCCUGACGGAGCAACGCCGCGUGAGUGAUGAAGGUCUUCGGAUCGUAAAACUCUGUUAUUAGGGAAGAACAUAUGUGUAAGUAACUGUGCACAUCUUGACGGUACCUAAUCAGAAAGCCACGGCUAACUACGUGCCAGCAGCCGCGGUAAUACGUAGGUGGCAAGCGUUAUCCGGAAUUAUUGGGCGUAAAGCGCGCGUAGGCGGUUUUUUAAGUCUGAUGUGAAAGCCCACGGCUCAACCGUGGAGGGUCAUUGGAAACUGGAAAACUUGAGUGCAGAAGAGGAAAGUGGAAUUCCAUGUGUAGCGGUGAAAUGCGCAGAGAUAUGGAGGAACACCAGUGGCGAAGGCGACUUUCUGGUCUGUAACUGACGCUGAUGUGCGAAAGCGUGGGGAUCAAACAGGAUUAGAUACCCUGGUAGUCCACGCCGUAAACGAUGAGUGCUAAGUGUUAGGGGGUUUCCGCCCCUUAGUGCUGCAGCUAACGCAUUAAGCACUCCGCCUGGGGAGUACGACCGCAAGGUUGAAACUCAAAGGAAUUGACGGGGACCCGCACAAGCGGUGGAGCAUGUGGUUUAAUUCGAAGCAACGCGAAGAACCUUACCAAAUCUUGACAUCCUUUGACAACUCUAGAGAUAGAGCUUUCCCCUUCGGGGGACAAAGUGACAGGUGGUGCAUGGUUGUCGUCAGCUCGUGUCGUGAGAUGUUGGGUUAAGUCCCGCAACGAGCGCAACCCUUAAGCUUAGUUGCCAUCAUUAAGUUGGGCACUCUAAGUUGACUGCCGGUGACAAACCGGAGGAAGGUGGGGAUGACGUCAAAUCAUCAUGCCCCUUAUGAUUUGGGCUACACACGUGCUACAAUGGACAAUACAAAGGGCAGCGAAACCGCGAGGUCAAGCAAAUCCCAUAAAGUUGUUCUCAGUUCGGAUUGUAGUCUGCAACUCGACUACAUGAAGCUGGAAUCGCUAGUAAUCGUAGAUCAGCAUGCUACGGUGAAUACGUUCCCGGGUCU
RNAcentral lists this ribosomal RNA (1372 nucleotides) under uncultured bacterium. RNAcentral describes it as "bacterial SSU rRNA". It matches the Rfam family "Bacterial small subunit ribosomal RNA", at positions 28 to 1381 of the family's 1533-position model. The record is from RNAcentral.